This 394-nucleotide ribosomal RNA is filed under the name uncultured bacterium. Its description in RNAcentral is "partial 16S ribosomal RNA". It matches the Rfam family "Bacterial small subunit ribosomal RNA", at positions 338 to 729 of the family's 1533-position model. The record is from RNAcentral.
CCUACGGGAGGCAGCAGUGAGGAAUAUUGGUCAAUGGGCGCGAGCCUGAACCAGCCAAGUCGCGUGAAGGAUGACUGCCCUACGGGUUGUAAACUUCUUUUAUCAAGGAACAAAACCCGGGACGUGUCCCUUUUUGCAUGUACUUUAUGAAUAAGCAUCGGCUAACUCCGUGCCAGCAGCCGCGGUAAUACGGAGGAUCCGAGCGUUAUCCGGAUUUAUUGGGUUUAAAGGGUGCGUAGAUGGGUUGUUAAGUCAGGUGUGAAAGUUUGCGGCUCAACCGUAAAAGUGCAAUUGAUACUGGCAGUAUUGAGUACAGGAGAGGUAGGCGGAAUGCGUGGUGUAGCGGUGAAAUGCAUAGAUAUCGCGAAGAACUCCGAUUGCGAAGGCAGCGUAC